RNAcentral lists this ribosomal RNA (460 nucleotides) under uncultured Treponema sp. RNAcentral describes it as "partial 16S ribosomal RNA". It matches the Rfam family "Bacterial small subunit ribosomal RNA", at positions 341 to 792 of the family's 1533-position model. The record is from RNAcentral. Lineage: Bacteria; Pseudomonadati; Spirochaetota; Spirochaetia; Treponematales; Treponemataceae.
ACGGGAGGCAGCAGCUAAGAAUAUUCCGCAAUGGGGGAAACCCUGACGGAGCGACGCCGCGUGGACGAUGAAGGCCGGAAGGUUGUAAAGUCCUUUUAUGGCAGAGGAAUAAGCGGGGGAGUGGAAAGCCCCUGUGAUGACUGUAGGCCAUGAAUAAGCACCGGCUAAUUACGUGCCAGCAGCCGCGGUAACACGUAAGUUGCGAGCGUUGUUCGGAAUUAUUGGGCGUAAAGGGCAUGUAGGCGGUUGUGCAAGCUUGAUGUGAAAUCCCCGGGCUUAACCCGGGAACUGCAUUGAGAACUGCAUGACUAGAAUUACUGAAGGGUAACUGGAAUUCCAAGUGUAGGGGUGAAAUCUGUAGAUAUUUGGAAGAACACCGAUGGCGAAGGCAAGUUACUGGCAGAUAAUUGACGCUGAGGUGCGAAGGUGCGGGGAGCGAACAGGAUUAGAUACCCUGGUA